UGAGUUUGAUUAUGGCUCAGGAUGAACGCUGGCGAGAUGCCUUACACAUGCAAGUCGUACGAGAGUUUUUAACUCAAGUGGCGGACGGGUGAGUAACACGUAAGAAUUUGCCUUUAGGAGGGGGACAACAACUGGAAACGGUUGCUAAUACCCCAUAUGCUUUCGAGUGAAAUGGAUUUUCCGCCUAGAGAGAAGCUUGCGGCUGAUUAGCUUGUUGGUGAGGUAAUGGCUCACCAAGGCGACGAUCAGUAUCUGGUUUGAGAGGACGAUCAGACACACUGGAACUGAGACACGGUCCAGACUCCUACGGGAGGCAGCAGUGGGGGAUUUUCCGCAAUGGGCGAAAGCCUGACGGAGCAAUCUCGCGUGAGGGAUGACGGCCUAUGGGUUGUAAACCUCUUUUUUCAGGGAGGAAUCAACGACGUGUACCUGAAGAAUAAGCAUCGGCUAACUCCGUGCCAGCAGCCGCGGUAAGACGGAGGAUGCAAGUGUUAUCCGGAAUCACUGGGCGUAAAGCGUCUGUAGGUGGUNUAAUAAGUCAACUGUUAAAUCUUGAAGCUCAACUUCAAAAUCGCAGUCGAAACUAUUAGACUAGAGUAUAGUAGGGGUAAAGGGAAU
Molecule: ribosomal RNA, 618 nt
Filed under: uncultured bacterium
Lineage: Bacteria
Description: bacterial SSU rRNA
Rfam family: Bacterial small subunit ribosomal RNA
Source: RNAcentral